UCCUAACCUUACCUUCUGGUCUGGUGAUUUUUUGGUGCUUCAUCAUCAUAUCCGCUAUAAAAACCCUAAAUUCAAUCACCCAAAAGCCUAUCUUUCUUUCGUCUCUUGCUCUUUCUCUUUCUGUUUAUUCCAUGCGUAGAAACUCAAUUGUGGAUAAAGAUAGAAGGGUUUGUUAUUCAUUCCCAUAAUUAUACCAAGUGAGGACUCCAAAAUGAAGAAGAUUUGGGUUUGAGGAGCUAAUGAAGUCACGUGCUCAGGCCCUGCGACAUAAAUGAUAUGGUGGCUAAGGGUGAGACAAUGGCAUUGGUAACCUAUCAAAUGCAGGUUUCAUAUUCUACAUUCCACUCAAGACCUCUAUCAUGGGACAAAGGGUUGAAGUUGAAGCAGAGUGUAAAAACAUUACACAUGGUUGGGAAAACAGAUAGGAGUUUCUUAUUAAAGCGCAAUGCUCGUUUAAGGUGAGAGUUUUCCUUCAU
Juglans regia (Persian walnut) is the source of this 476-nucleotide long non-coding RNA. RefSeq lists it as uncharacterized. The transcript is spliced from 3 exons. NCBI's taxonomy places the organism in Eukaryota, Viridiplantae, Streptophyta, Magnoliopsida, Fagales, Juglandaceae. The record is from RefSeq and is a predicted model, not a curated record.